CGGAUGACAAAGUUUACACGAGUGUUAGCCAAUACUAUCAUGACUAAAUUGACGUUCAACGGACCACAACAUUAAGAAUCGCAAUUCUUGAUGUUGAUCAAAUUGAGCGCGGCCGCUGGGGACGAGAAUGCAUCGACUGACACCUGGCUCGUCCUCAGUCGUCUUUAUAUAGCACACAGUUUCAGUUUUCAGUUUCAGUUUCAGUUUCACACGGCAGCGCGCGCUGUAUCUCUCCUGUAUGAAGACGAUUGGGGACGAGUCAGGACUGACACUACUAUAUGUUUGACUCUGAAGAUGAUUUUCGCUCAGGUUGUCGAAACGUCAACAAUUCUUUUUUAGAACUACCGCCACCCGGACAAUUACACUCUACGCCCUUUCUACUCUCCAUUUUGGGUAGUUGGUAAAGUCAGGUGACAUGAUUUACGCACAAAGACGUCGUCUGGCUUAAAGUUGAAGCGACAUAGUGGGACGUUUGGCUAAUUUUGGGAUGUGAAAGGGAAAAUAGAAAAUGGCAUUGGUUGUUAAAAACUUGUAGAAAAGGAGCUGAUUCAAAGCUACCAUAAAUUUUGACUUCCUCUUUCCACACCUACAACUCAUGCUAGUGCAAUGAUAAUCAAAGAAUUAUGAGGGACAGUGCUGACAAUGUUGACCUCUUUGAAGAAGAUUCAAAAGAAUUUUGUGAAGUGUUGACAUCGAAUCAUGAGUUGGUUUCAGUGGACUUUAUCAAAUGAAGCUACCUAUGACUGUGUCUUGCAUGCAUUGCUGUGUUCGUAAAUUCCAUGUUGGUGGUGAAUACAAAGGAAAUGAGACUCACUUGAUGAUUACAGAGGGAAGUAAUACUUAUCAUAGAAAAUAAACAUAACAUUUCGUUUAUUUA
Orbicella faveolata is the source of this 877-nucleotide long non-coding RNA. RefSeq lists it as uncharacterized. Lineage: Eukaryota; Metazoa; Cnidaria; Anthozoa; Scleractinia; Merulinidae. The record is from RefSeq and is a predicted model, not a curated record.